GGUUAAGCGACUAAGCGUACACGGUGGAUGCCCUGGCAGUCAGAGGCGAUGAAGGACGUGCUAAUCUGCGAUAAGCGUCGGUAAGGUGAUAUGAACCGUUAUAACCGGCGAUUUCCGAAUGGGGAAACCCAGUGCAAUUCGUUGCACUAUCGUUAAGUGAAUACAUAGCUUAACGAAGCGAACCGGGGGAACUGAAACAUCUAAGUACCCCGAGGAAAAGAAAUCAACCGAGAUUCCCCCAGUAGCGGCGAGCGAACGGGGAGCAGCCCAGAGUCUGAAUCAGCAUGUGUGUUAGUGGAAGCGUCUGGAAAGUCGCACGAUACAGGGUGAAAGUCCCGUACACCAAAAUGCAUAUGUUGUGAACUCGAAGAGUAGGGCGGGACACGUGGUAUCCUGUCUGAAUAUGGGGGGACCAUCCUCCAAGGCUAAAUACUCCUGACUGACCGAUAGUGAACCAGUACCGUGAGGGAAAGGCGAAAAGAACCCCGGCGAGGGGAGUGAAAAAGAACCUGAAACCGUGUACGUACAAGCAGUGGGAGCCUCUUUUAUGGGGUGACUGCGUACCUUUUGUAUAAUGGGUCAGCGACUUAUAUUCUGUAGCAAGGUUAACCGAAUAGGGGAGCCGAAGGGAAACCGAGUCUUAACUGGGCGUUAAGUUGCAGGGUAUAGACCCGAAACCCGGUGAUCUAGCCAUGGGCAGGUUGAAGGUUGGGUAACACUAACUGGAGGACCGAACCGACUAAUGUUGAAAAAUUAGCGGAUGACUUGUGGCUGGGGGUGAAAGGCCAAUCAAACCGGGAGAUAGCUGGUUCUCCCCGAAAGCUAUUUAGGUAGCGCCUCGUGAAUUCAUCUCCGGGGGUAGAGCACUGUUUCGGCAAGGGGGUCAUCCCGACUUACCAACCCGAUGCAAACUGCGAAUACCGGAGAAUGUUAUCACGGGAGACACACGGCGGGUGCUAACGUCCGUCGUGAAGAGGGAAACAACCCAGACCGCCAGCUAAGGUCCCAAAGUCAUGGUUAAGUGGGAAACGAUGUGGGAAGGCCCAGACAGCCAGGAUGUUGGCUUAGAAGCAGCCAUCAUUUAAAGAAAGCGUAAUAGCUCACUGGUCGAGUCGGCCUGCGCGGAAGAUGUAACGGGGCUAAACCAUGCACCGAAGCUGCGGCAGCGACGCUUAUGCGUUGUUGGGUAGGGGAGCGUUCUGUAAGCCUGUGAAGGUGUGCUGUGAGGCAUGCUGGAGGUAUCAGAAGUGCGAAUGCUGACAUAAGUAACGAUAAAGCGGGUGAAAAGCCCGCUCGCCGGAAGACCAAGGGUUCCUGUCCAACGUUAAUCGGGGCAGGGUGAGUCGACCCCUAAGGCGAGGCCGAAAGGCGUAGUCGAUGGGAAACAGGUUAAUAUUCCUGUACUUGGUGUUACUGCGAAGGGGGGACGGAGAAGGCUAUGUUGGCCGGGCGACGGUUGUCCCGGUUUAAGCGUGUAGGCUGGUUUUCCAGGCAAAUCCGGAAAAUCAAGGCUGAGGCGUGAUGACGAGGCACUACGGUGCUGAAGCAACAAAUGCCCUGCUUCCAGGAAAAGCCUCUAAGCAUCAGGUAACAUCAAAUCGUACCCCAAACCGACACAGGUGGUCAGGUAGAGAAUACCAAGGCGCUUGAGAGAACUCGGGUGAAGGAACUAGGCAAAAUGGUGCCGUAACUUCGGGAGAAGGCACGCUGAUAUGUAGGUGAAGCGACUUGCUCGUGGAGCUGAAAUCAGUCGAAGAUACCAGCUGGCUGCAACUGUUUAUUAAAAACACAGCACUGUGCAAACACGAAAGUGGACGUAUACGGUGUGACGCCUGCCCGGUGCCGGAAGGUUAAUUGAUGGGGUCAGCGCAAGCGAAGCUCUUGAUCGAAGCCCCGGUAAACGGCGGCCGUAACUAUAACGGUCCUAAGGUAGCGAAAUUCCUUGUCGGGUAAGUUCCGACCUGCACGAAUGGCGUAAUGAUGGCCAGGCUGUCUCCACCCGAGACUCAGUGAAAUUGAACUCGCUGUGAAGAUGCAGUGUACCCGCGGCAAGACGGAAAGACCCCGUGAACCUUUACUAUAGCUUGACACUGAACAUUGAGCCUUGAUG
RNAcentral lists this ribosomal RNA (2110 nucleotides) under Escherichia coli. Its description in RNAcentral is "partial 23S ribosomal RNA". It matches the Rfam family "Bacterial large subunit ribosomal RNA", at positions 1 to 2136 of the family's 2925-position model. The record is from RNAcentral. Lineage: Bacteria; Pseudomonadati; Pseudomonadota; Gammaproteobacteria; Enterobacterales; Enterobacteriaceae.